AGCAGUCGCCGCGGUAAUACGUAGGUGGCAAGCGUUGUCCGGAAUUAUUGGGCGUAAAGGGCUCGCAGGCGGUCUCUUAAGUCUGAUGUGAAAGCCCCCGGCUCAACCGGGGAGGGUCAUUGGAAACUGGGAAACUUGAGUGCAGAAGAGGAGAGUGGAAUUCCACGUGUAGCGGUGAAAUGCGUAGAGAUGUGGAGGAACACCAGUGGCGAAAGCGGCUCACUGGACCAUUUCUGACGCUGAUGCACGAAAGCUAGGGGAGCAAACAGGAUUAGAUACCCCGUAGUCCCUGUCUCUUAUACA
RNAcentral lists this ribosomal RNA (303 nucleotides) under uncultured bacterium. RNAcentral's name for it is "partial 16S ribosomal RNA". It matches the Rfam family "Bacterial small subunit ribosomal RNA", at positions 507 to 808 of the family's 1533-position model. The record is from RNAcentral.